This 13574-nucleotide long non-coding RNA is filed under the name Coffea arabica (coffee). RNAcentral describes it as "long non-coding RNA (CARA_LNC008301)". The record is from RNAcentral. Lineage: Eukaryota; Viridiplantae; Streptophyta; Magnoliopsida; Gentianales; Rubiaceae.
GGACCGCCACUACCCUGAGAUGACAAAGAAAUGGAUGAACUCCAGCAGUGCAUUUUCAGUUUGGGAUUCAGCUCCCAAUGCUCGAAAUCCUAUCCCACUUUACCUGCGUGUUCCUCAGUGAAAGCAAAUUAAUUAUAGCAUCAGUUGUACUGCUUUAAGAAGUUUUGCAGGUGCCAUUCGCGCACAAACGUUGUACCGUGUUCUUCGGUUUGAAGGAAACUGUAAACUCUUUCUUGGCCUCUGCUGUUCUCAUUACUGUUAAGUCGGCCAUAUACGUAGUUCCAGGCCUUGUUUGGAUUGCGUUACCUUUAGGCGCUGUCCUAGCCCGUUCAGAUCAAUAUCCUUUGUUAUUUAUUUAUUUAUUUUCGAGUGAAUUGCUGACAUCCACAUCUUCUUGUCUUCUUAUCUUUCUUAUUCUCAAGUAAAGAAGAAAAGGCAAAAGGGGAGUUUGUGUCACAUAAAACGUUUUAUUCUUGCAGUGUUGUGGGCACGAAAAUUGAAAACUCCCAAGCAUUAUGCUUAGUUUAGGAGUUUUAUUAGCUUUUCACUUUUUAAGCGAUUUGCCAAGGAGAUCCCAAUUCCACCUAUACCUAUUUAAUUUGGUGUUAAAAAGGUUGGAAAUACUAUUAACUACUAAUUGAUACUUUCGAUUGAAACAAACCAAAGAACCUACUUCUUGAUUGUUGCUGCUUGUGUCUUCAUACGCGUUAUUACCUACUUUUCGUGUUGGGUAAAACCCAAAGUUACACUGUACUAUCACCGUAGACUAAACAUAUGAUUAAUCAUCAUACAUCAAAUAUUGGCUUCAAGCCAAUAUGCAUGAUAAGUGUUUAUGACCAAAUUAGUUCAAAAGUUUUUCAGUUAUAUACCCGCGGAAUCAAGAGUGAUUUGUGCGUCCAUUUUGAAAAGACUAGCACCUUCAAGACAGUUUCUUGAGGUCUGAUUAUACCACUUGCUAUUAAUAUUGUUUCCUUUUUUUUGUUUGGAGUACAACAUUAUACGAAAUGGUCCUAUACUAAGGGGUGAGGGAAGGGGGAUGGAGAUGGAUCAAACUAAGGCCUUGUUUUGGAACCUAAGUUUUUGCCAAGUUUGUCUGCUACAAGUUUUUUAAAAACUUUAGCUAUAGUAAUCUCAAAAAUUUCUUAAAGUUUUUAAACUAUACACUUCAAAAUAUUCAAAAAUCUACACAUUUCAAAAAUUUUUUAAAAAACUUUUACAGUAGGCUAAAAUAAAGUUUUAGACAAACUCCAAAAAACUCACCUUCUCUAGAAGUGUUUGAAAAAUUCUUGAAUAGCCAAGGGAUUUGGAGCCCCUUACCUACAAAAUUCCCUCCCUUGGUGUUUCUAAAACUCGAAGCGCUUUUUUUUACCAUAGUCCAAGGUAGAGUUGCAAACGAAUCGAACUGUUCGCGAGUCGCCUGAGUCAAAGUUCAAUUCAAAUUCGAUCAAUAUCGAGAUCAAGUUGGCCAAAUCGAACUUAAGUUCAAAAAUAUUAAGAUUGUUAGCGCGCGAUAUAUAUUUUUUAUUUUUUAUUUUAAUAGUAAAAUUACACAUAUAUCAUUUAUAUUUUAUUAUUUAUUAAGAAAAAAAAUAUAAUUUUUUUUUUAUUUUUUAUUUUUUUAUUUUUUGAACUCGAACUUUAAAUUGGUAGCUCGUCGAGCUCAAGCUCGAAUUGGAGCGUGAUAAAACUAAGUCAAGGUUCAACUCGAUUAGAUCAAAGUUCGACUCGAUUCGACUCAUUUGCAGCUCUAGUCCAAGGAUUCUACGCUGUAAUUGGGGGAGGGUUGGGUGAUAAGUUGGAGAAGUUAUAAGUAACAGAUUUUAAAUUCAAAUUUUCUUACUUAAAAAAAAAUCUACACCGUGCUUUAAUUAAUUAAAGAAUAAAUUUUAUAUACAUUGACAGUGUAUAUAUUAUAAUAUUGGAUAAAAAUCUACACAAUACUUUAAUUAAUUAAAAUAUAAAUCUUAUAUUUAUUGACAGUGUAUAUAUCACUUGUUGAAUCCAUGAUAUCUGUCAAUAUAGUAAAAAUUAAUCUUUAAUUUAAAAAAAAUUAAGGAGAUGUACUACUUAAGAGUAGUAUGAUAGUUGAGCAUUUUCCUACCCUCUUACUUUUUCUCCCCGUCCCCGGCCGCAGCGAUCGAAAGAAAUUUCUUGGACUAUUUUAUUUCCAACUCCCCCAAGACUAAGCUAUCCAGCCUGCUUUGCUCCUAACCCUUUUUUAUUUCCAUGGGUACCCCUAUUCCUUGUGUCCUUUUCCUUGUUAAAGCAUCAAAACUUCAACACAGAAACUUUUUAAUACAUAUUCCCCCUCCUCCGCACUUCAACUCUAGUUUUUGUUUUUCCAUUUUUUUUCCUUUUCUCCACACCGCGAGCCCGGCCUGCAGCUCGAAUUGUGGCCAUUCUGUUCUUACAGUCCCCAAAUUGCCUCCCUGCUGUUCAUCUGCCUCUAAUCUCAAUUGGGUAAGUUCUAACUUUUUUUGCCUUUCCUGCUGUCCGUGCUGUUUUUGCACCUUGCAUAUUCACGUAUUUUGGGGUUGAGGGCUAGGGGGGUGGGGGUGGGGAUGGAGGUGGAGGUGGGGGUUUCGUAAGCAUAUUUACUUUGAUGGGCUCACUCUAAUUAUCUAUUUAUCUUGAUUUUCGUGGUUCUUUAAAUUCACUCUGGUUAUGUGUGACACUGAGAUCUAGUUCAAUUCCAUUGUUUUAUUUUUAAUUGCUGCUUUAGCUUGUUGCUUUACGUUCUGUUUAGCUGGUCAAUUGUAAAAUGAUUGCCAGUUAUGUGUUUUCUCUUUAACCCCUAAGGAUAUGGUUACUAAUUUGUUGGCAGGAGGUUGAAUUUAGAGCCAAUGUCACAAGGUUAUGCAUUGGAGCUUUACUUUGAUCCUGCACUUGAAAACCAGGUCUUGAAGGCCUGGAAUGUGUUGGCUCGCCGACAGAUUAGUACUCAGCUUAUUGAAAUUGAAUCCAGACCCCACAUUACCUUAUUUUCUAGCCCGCUUGUCGAUGUCUCAAAACUUGAAAACACUGUGAAAAACUUUGCUUCAAAGCAAGAACCUUUGCCGUUGUCAUUUUCUUCAAUUGGAAGCCUUGCUAAUGACAACAACGUUCUCUUUCUUGCGCCAACACCAUCCUUAUCUCUCAUUCAAUUCCACCUUCAAUUGUGUGAUGCAAUGAGAAAAGAUGGCAUUGAAAUUGGGGAGGAUUAUCGCCCUGAUUCAUGGAUUCCACAUUGUCCUGUUGCCGAAGAAGUGCCAAAGGCUCGAAUGGCUGAGGCAUUUACUGUUUUACGGGAUUUGAAGAUGCCAGUCACUGGAUAUGCAAUGGAUAUUGCAUUGGUUGAGUAUCCACCAGUCCGCGAACUAUGCUCCUUUGUGCUUGGUGGCGGCACUGUUGAACCUUGAGACUUCAGAUAUCUUGCCCUGAUAGUCAAUGGUAAUGUGAAAUUAGGUACUAAAUUUUUGUUCCUUGCAUUUUCUUGUUGUACAAACUGGUUGUAGAUUGCAGCAACGGUGCUAUAGUAGUGAGAUGACUCUUUAUAGCUCUAUGAACUGAAAGGCGAGUUGAAUUUUGUUCUUGUCCGUUGUAUUUUUCGUUAAAAAUUAAGUUAUUCAUGUGGAUGCGCCUAUGAACUAUGUCUAUAUUUUUUUUGGUGAUUAUUACACUGGCUAUUGGACUUAGGCGUAUCAUUCCUAGGAUUUAUAUAUGCUUUUGCGCUUUACUUGGUUUUGUUUUUUAAGGAAAUGUUCCAAGUUCAGAGGUUACUGAUGGUGUAUUUACUCUUUCACAUUUCAAUGCAGUAGUUGUGCAAACAGUAGCAAUAUAGACAAAAUCUUCCAAGGAUAUAUAUAUAUAAAAUCCUUAAAGCGGCUGUCUGGGUCUCCUGUUGAAGUACAAGACACUAAUAGGACUUGACCUUUCUCUUUUCUUUUUUUUUUUUCCCUUCUUGGUAAAGAAUAGGACUUUAGCCUUGCUUAGCUUGAAAAUUUAUUUGAAUUGCCUUGCUGACAACUACAUAUUAUUUCCUUUACUUUCUCAGCCAAAUGGUAUAUUCUAUUGGAAAUUAUGUCAGCGAGCAAUUCCCCUUCUUUAGUCUGUGGUUUCAUAUAAUCUUCUAAUAUUUUACAUUUUAGAAAGUACUGAGUAUUUUUGUCUUAAGAAGUGAUUGGCCCCUGAGCAUGACACGGUUCUGAAGAAAUUCAGGUUCUUGAAUAAUAACUGGCUGUAUAUUUUAACAGCACCACCAAAUCCCUGCUUCGACAUCUUUUAUCUGUUAUCAGUUUCUUUUAGGCCUAAAAAGAUGAAAUGGAUGAGGGCGGUGGGAUCUCUCAAGUCUCAACUGCUUGGCGGACUGCUGGUGGUUGAUGAGUAUACUGUGAAAUACAUUUGAUUUAGCACAUCUUUGAUUCUAUUUGCGUUUCACCUUUCUUCCUAUGAAUCUUGAGCCAUGCGUUCUAGAGCCGAGAGGAUUGCGGGAUUGUCUUCGGAGCACUUGAAGUAAAAAGUCGUUCCAAGUGUCAAUGGGUCCUGGCAAACACCAGUGGAUGCAGUCACUGUAUCCCUUCAUCCAUUGGUUUCCCCAGUGUAACCCAGGGUGGCCAUCUGGCCUCAUAAGCAUAGCUCUUGUAACAUCAAGAAUAUCAAAUGCAUUCCCUUUUUUCUCUCCCAAUUUGCGUGCACUGUCAAUCUCUGCCAAUUGAAUCCUCCUAUAAUACCAAUCCAGGCCACCACCAUCCUUAAUCUCCUCUGGGGCCAAUGGGCUCGUUCUAGUGCAGGUCCCUCCAGUGUUCCAUCCGCCAUUCUCAAACUGGGAUGGUGAGAAUGUUCUUAAUAUAGUCACAAUCCUCGGGCAGUUGUUGCAGUCGUUUAUGUGCUUAAGAGCAAGUCUAAAAGCUUUUUGGAUGGCAAAGCCGGGACCGAGGUCCGUCACAUUAGUCUCCUGGCAGUAAAUACAUCCAACAAAACGACCGCCCUCAUACAGGUAGUUGGGUCUGAAGAACCACUGGCCAUCCGAGAUAAUGGCGUAGUCGAUGGCAGAUAGUUUUUGCACCCAACUCUCGUCGAUCUUGUCAAGGUGCAAAUGGAAUCCGCCGGUUGCUGACCCAUUUACUAUUAUCUCCGAGGCUGAGACGAGGAAUUGGGUCCAGAGGACAAUGAUGGUGAAGUUGUGACGAGGAAAGUGGCAUGUUGCGGUUCGGUCUUCCGCAUCCCUGUAUACUUGGUUUGGCGUUUCUUCCUGCAAAAUGGAGUUCCUUGAAGCUAAAAUUAUUCUUAGAUUUAUAGCGGCGCAGCUCGUUAUCGCAUAUUAGAAAGUCGGGAAAUCCUCUGUAAAAGAUUGAUCUUCGUCAUCAAGGUCUAUAGAUAGACAUACAAGUUUGCCGACAUUAGGGGAAGAUUUCAUGGUGAGGAAUGCUGCAAGAACCUGAUAUUGUUUUUGGCCAGUAGAAGAAUCAUAGGAAAAUGAGGAAUUGGUAAAUAUGCCUUCUUUUUUUUCGGUUGGUUGAACUUUUGAUUCAUCAAAAACUAAAAGUUCCAUUAAUUAUCAAUAGCUUCCUAAUAUCUUUCGUUUUUUUUUUUUAAUCAAAGAAAAAACAGUAACUUCAACUUUCUUUUUCCUUCCUAUAACUCUUAAUUGACUUUUUCACGUAACUUUCUUCUAAUUAAAUGUAGCCUAUUAAGGGCGACUAAGGCUAUUGACAGAUUUUUACCAAUAGCUACUGGAAUUAGAUUACACGUUGUUACGUAUCGACAAUUAAUUUUUAAAAAAAGAACUAAAAAUCUGAAAUAAAUAUUGUUGGCCAUAGUUUAUGGUAAAAAAUGGCUAAUUACUUGCAUGCCGAUCACGUAAGUUAUUAGUCUUUAACCCAGAAAUACGAUCAAAUUUGGUUGACAAAAAAAAAAAAAUAGGUUAAAAACUAAUUACUCACAUGACCAGCGUAUGAAUACUUAGUCACUUUUUAUUACAGAGUAUGGCCAGUAAUAUUUUAUUACUUUUUUAGUUUUGGGGUAUUAAAAUUGCUUAUAAAAUGUCUAUAAAUUAGUAAGUUGGAUACUAUAUCCAACUGGAUCGUAACUAACAUGCCACCACUGCUAGUGCAAUGGGUUCAUUGGUUCAUGAUUGACGUGUUUGAAUGUUUGAUGUAGUAGUUGCUGUCUUUUGUGCAGAUAUUAAAAUAAAAUUAUUUUUUUCAUAAAAAGAUGAAAAGAUAAAAAUAAUAAAUAAUAAUAAAAAAUAAAAAGUUGACACGUCUGAAUGUGCCAAGGAUUUCAACAACUAACCGCAGAGAGUAAACAGAGAAGCGAUUCCAUCUGAUUCCUGGCAAGGGAGUCACCGAUGAAAGCCAUCGUCUUUCCUUGAACAAUGUUCAGGAAGCUCCUGAGGUUGAAGACUGGAAGUUCGCAUUGGUCUGGCUUCCAUCUCCAGUGAAGGAAGUCCUUGUCCGUCCGUCCGUGCAAUAAGCAGUUCCUCUGAUAGGGCAGCGUUUUACAGCUAAAAUUUGUAUAUAAAGGCCCUCUCACAUCCCGAAUCCAACGGCCCGUAAACAAGUCACAUUUUUCAUCAUCUACAAAACCAAAUGACAGAGCAUCUUAUAUUUAUAAUUAGUGCUAGUGAUACUACAUUAAUUUUCACAAGCAGCAGAAGAAAUGAAAGAGGAGGAAGGAAGUUCUUGUCAAGAUUAUAAACGACGAAAUGAUCGAUGGGUACCUAGCUUACCAUUUCCGGGCUGAACUAAGGAGUUUCUUUGGUCAAAAUGGUGUCCAUGUGUGGAGUUGAAGGCGAACCUGAGGGAAUUGGAAGCACACAGACAUAGAAAACUGAGCAAGAUGGUAAAACAUAACGAGUAGAUUAGAAAAGAUGGUCGUCGUUAACCAAGGUGAGAAGUUUCUCUUUGUCGAUGAGGUAAUGCUCAUGAAUACGUCGGCAUACUUUUGAAGUUGGCUUCAUCUUGAGUCGACUCUGGUCUCUCUCUGAUGUGAUUUCUGUGUGCAUACGAGAAUCUAAUUCGAUCAAAGCUCAUACAAAUGUAUGAUGCGCAAUUCGACAAAUCCUAAGUGCUGCCCCCGGUUUUUGUCUGUUCCAAAAAUAGGGGCUUUCACAAGACUCCCUGCAGUUCAUUGGUCUUUGAGCACCUUUUAAUGUUUAGAUGAAUGGAGAAGUGAAUUAGUGACAGAGGUCAUGAAGGUAGAAGAUCAUGAAUUCAUGAUAGAUGUUGUGUUUGGCCUUGAAUUCUCGCGUUCAAUGCCCUGACUUCUGGUGUUUGACCGUUGGCCUUUUUGUCUUGCUGUCACUUUCCCGUCUCUCCCGUCCACCUUGAUGUCCAUGUUUUCUUCUUUUUAGCGUGAUUGGAGCUGCUGUGGAUCCGUAACUCGUAGUUGUAGGUGAACUAGCCAGCUUAGCUAAUGACUUUCUUUUCUUUUCUUCUUUUCUUCCAUCGUGAAUCAUGCAAAGGCAAGAAAAGAAAAGAUUCUGAACACUCAUCCUUAAUGAAUCCAUCUUCCACAAGCAACAAACUCUCUAGGCGACCCGAUUCUUUUCUAUAAUGGGAAAAUGCGCAUAAUGGCUUCUUAUGGGCUUAGUUCUGUUACUUAAGCCUCCACAGUGUACCUGAAUCACUAAUUUGAAUCAUAAUUGCCCAACAAAUGAUUAGAAAAUUGUGAGCAAAAUUUUGUCUGCAUCAAUGAUAAAUUUGUGUACGCCAGAAGAUUAAAGAUGCAAAUAUUAGAAAAAGAAAAAGUACUAGUUAGGAGUGUUAACUUUUCAUGGAAAAGCCCAAUGUAGGCUGGUGUUAAGUUUCACAACAAAUAUCGAUCUGCACUAUCUCAACUUAUGCGACAAUAAUUUCAGGAAGGGUCAAGCGCUGCUUCUCCACUCAUUGAUUCAUAUUGAAUAUUGGGCAUUUGUUUAGGUCUUUGCUUAGAGAAUUUGCGAGCAGUGGACAUGUUCUUGGAUAUCUGUCCAAAGCGUGCUUUUAAAGAUGAAGAUGGAUGGUUAAUAUUUUUGCGUGCUCCCAAGAAAGGCACCUCAAAAGGCGCCCUAAUGACAUCCUACGGUUAAGUAUCCUAUGUUGAAAGAGAGAUAAGGAAGUAAUCGUAAUUAAUUAAUCUACCCGGGGAACACGUUUAUACGCAUGUCAGAAUCUCAUUCGUUCUCUCCACUGAAUGUAAAAACUGUCUUCUGAUAAAACUGGCGCUGAAAAGGACUGAAGGCACUCGUCAUUAAUCCUUUGAUCGGCCACCCGAUUUUAUCCUACAGUAUACAAUUUCUGAAAUUUCAUUGCAGAACCUCAUACCGUGGUCAUUCUGAUGAAACCGUCAGACAUUUUUUUCCCCCAACUUUGCUAGUAACAAAGUAACAGUUAGAGCUGGCAAUUUGUCCCAAGUCCCAAUGGGCUACCCAUGCCCAAAGGAACUUUGGGCGGGAUGGGUAUUAUAAUUUGGUAUUGGGUUUAAGUUGGGACACAUCCCAACUAUACCCAUUAAUGAAUGGGAAAGGAUGGGAAAUACUUGGGUACCCAUUGGGCUCAAAUGGCAAGGGCUCCGUUUGGAUUAGCUGUUUUUGGUAGGUAUUUUUGAAAUAUUUUAUUGUAGCAGUGUAUAUGAAAAAUUUUUACUAUAAAAUUUUUUUGAAUAUUUGAUAUAUUAAUAUGGAUGGGAUGUUUCUUGAGUUAUUGUAUAUUACUGUAACAUUGUAUUUGAAAAACUUAUUUUUUGAAAAAAAAGUCAAUCCAAACGGAAUCUUAGAUUCAAAAAUUAUCUUUAACAAUUUUUAUAGUCAUACCAGCGAAUAUAAUCUAGUAGUCUUCCUAGUCAUUAUCCACAAGAAUUUCCAGCAUUUCAGUUAGUUUAGACCUGUCAUCCUUGGACAAUGAUAAGGAUAAAUAUUCAACAUCCUAAGGACCUUGGCCAUCUUGAUAUAUGUUGGAAUAUGGCUGUAUAUCUAUCUUUUCCUUUAUUUGUUAAUCCAAUUUUUGGUGGGAAUCUUGAGUAUAAAGCACUUGCAUGUUUAUUUAAUAAAACUAAAAGAAAUUUAAUAAAUCAAAAAUAUUAAAAUUAUAUAAAAAUAAAAAAUGAAUUAAAGGAAAAAAAAUAUGUAGAAAAUGGAUUUGGGUAUUGGGCGGGAUCAAUCUAAACCCAUCCCAAAAUGAUCCCGCCCAAGUUAGUCCCAAAACACAUAUGGGUAAGGUUGGGCCCAAACCCAUAUGACUCGGUUCCAUCUCAAACCCAAGCAAAUCCCGCCAAUUUUGCCACCUCUAGUAACAGUGCAUGUUUAUAAUGCUGAAAGCACCCCCGCAUGACCUUACUGCCACAGAAGCUCUAUGUAUGGAUGGAUUACAGCUCUUAGCUGGUCCAUCAAAGUCUUCGCUACCUAGUUCUAUUAAUAUCAAAUGAAUCUAUAACAUGAUAAACAACCUAACAUGUGAUGCCGUGGCCUUUCGUAUCUGAUUGAUGAGUACUGAAAAAUAACUUCGAAUUAGUUAUGAUCUCUUUUAUUCAUAUCCCUCCAUCAAAAUGAUCUUGACCCAUGUCAUCUGGAUCGAAGAGGAAAAUGGGAUUGUCUCCUGAGCACCUCAAGCAAAAAUUCAUUCCAAACAUCAAUAGGCCCUGGCAAGCACCAAUGGACACAAUCACUGUAUCCCUUCUUUUUGUUUCGCCAGUGUAAUCCAGGGUGGCCAUCAGGCCUCAUCAGCAUUGCCCCAGUGACAUCUAGAACAUCAAACCUAUUCCCGAUUUUCUCUCCCCGUUUGCGGGCACUCUCAAUUUCUGCCAUUUGGAUGUUCCUGUACUCCAUGUCUGCGCCACCAGCGUCCUGAAUCUCCUCCGGGGCUAAUGGGCUCGUUCUGACACAGCUCCCCCCAGUCUUCCAUGUCCCAUUCUCAAACUGGGAUGGCGAAAUUGUUCUCAACAAAGUUAAAAUCCCAAAGCAAUUCUUGCAAUCGUUUAUGUACUUAAAAGCGGUUCUAAAUGCUCUUUGGAUGGCAAGGCCCGGACCGAGGUCAGUCACAUUAGGCUCCUGGCAGUAAAUACAUCCAAUAAGAUUGCCACCCUCGUAUAGGUAAUUCUGCCUGAGGAACCAUUGGGCAUCCGAAAAAAUGGCAUAAUCUACGACUGGUAGUUUGGGCGCCCAAUUAUCAUCAACCUUGUCCAGGUGCACAUCAAAACCGCCGGUUACUGACCCAUUGACUAUUGUCUGCGAGGAAGUGACAAGGAAUCGGGACCAGAGGGACAUCAUUGUGAAGUUGUAAUGAGGAAAAUGCCAUGUCCUGAAUCGGUCUUUAGCGUCCUUGUAUACGUCUUUUGGGGUUUCCUCCUGCAAUUCAUGGAGUUACUUAAAUAGAUAAUUAAGCUAAACUAGUAGAAAUAAGAGAUGCCCCAAUCCAACAUCAAACAAUUCAUCUUCUAAAAAACUUAAAAAAAAAAAAAUCAUCUUCUCAUCAUUGUUUGUAAACCAUUUCCAAACUUUGAGGGGGACGACUUUGUCAUAGGAAACCAUGCAAAGCUCGUAGAAAUAAGAGAUUAACUGGUUCAAUAGGCGUAAAAUUUUUCUUACAGAUUAAGUGGUUUAAAUGGGUGUAAAAUUUUUCAUACUAUACGGAAUUUUUGACAUGCAAAUUAACAUUUUUCUAGUUUUUUUUUUUAAUGUUCAGGCACAAUUCAUCUUCCCAAAAGAUAUCACUGACAAAAUACCAAACAAUAAAUUAGUUAAAAAGAUGAAGUAUUUCCUAGGUAGCAAAUAGUGUGUAAAUAGGAGGAAAUGGAAAAUUGAUGUACUUGCUGGCUUCCAAAAUCGGAGCAUCUUAACUUUACUAGUUCGAUAUUAGUGUUCAGCUGUUAAAAAAAAAAAAAAAAAAACUUACAGAUAUGAUAUGUGGACAUGCUAAGAAAAAUGGACGACGCAGGUAUUUAACUCGAGAAAAGAAUGUGUGAAGUCAGGUGGGAUGAAAAAUAUUGGUCCAUCCAAAACAAUCCGAGAUUGUGGCAUAAUUUUCUCUGUUUUUAAUGUUGAAAAAACUAUCAAGUGAUAAAGUUGUGGUUACAGGAUAGACAUGUGUGAGUGAAGGCGAGAAGAAUGUGUACAACAACAAACCGUAGACAGUAAACAGAGCAGCGAUUCCAUCUGAUUCCGGGAAACUGAGUCACCUAUGAAAGCCAUUGUUUUUCCCCGUGCGAUGCUUAGGAAGCUCCUGGGAUCGAAGACGGGAAGUUCACAUUCGUCGGGCUUCCAUCUCCAAUGAACGAAAUCCUUAUCCAUCCUCUCAUGCAAGAAACAAUUCUUCUUGUCCGGGAUCGUUUUACAGCUGAAAUUCGUGUACAAAGGACCUUUCUCGUCCCAAAUCCAACGACCCUUAAACAAGUUACAUUUUUCAUCUUCUGCCAAAAAAUAAUAAUAAUAAUAAUAAUACGACAGCAGAAGUGAGUUUGGAUGUGUCUAAAAUUCUGAAUUAAAUAGUGCGAUCAGAUUCUUUCGUGAUGAGACGAAGGAUUAUACUGUAUACAAGGAGCUGCUUAAUUAAUUACCUUUGGCAGGAGGAUGUAGCGAGGAUGAUGAGUUGCUUGGGACAUAGCCUACAUUUUUGGCGGUGAAGUUGAUGGAAUCGGGGGCACGCAGUGCGUAGAAUAUGAGCAAUAUCGUAAAGCACACAGAGCAGAUCAACAGCAGUGGUCGGCUAAGCAAUAUGAAAAUUUUCUCUUGUUGACGAAACAAUAGCAUUGCUGAAUAUUUGCUCUAAAAUUUGAGGAUGGCUUCAUCUGAUGCCUAGACUCUUUAAUUCGGGUGGAGGAGAUAUCUUGAGAGACUUUGAGCGUUAAAUAGGUAUUAAAAGGAUUGGAAAAUAACAAGACUAUAUUAGAGACCAUCCGUAACUAUUUGAUAGUAUCCCAAUACACUUAAAAGUAUUUGAUUGACCUCCCAACUUAAUCUUAUCUUUAUCCGUAUAUAUAAUAUAUCAGGUAGUUUCACCCUCUAUAAAAUAGACACUCACGGGUUGUUAAGAUCUCAAAAGCCCUUGCUCAUAUUCUCCUCAACCCUUGCUCAAUCGAUUCAUGUAGUUGUAUUAACAUUUGCAUAUUUGCAACUUCAGAUAGAUGUAAAUGUAAAAAAGGAAAGUGAUGGAUACUACUAUAAUUACAAACUGUCCUGUGGAAAGAUGUUGUUUUGCAAAUUGCUCAGCAUUUUGCAUCCCAUAAUCUUUGAAACUAUUACAUUCAUCCCUGCAAUCGCCUCAGGUGAAGCUAAAAACACUUUCCACCCUACUAAAAAAGGUUGUUUGACCUAUUCAAAACUUAAAGAUUUGUCAACAAUAGAACAAUUUUUAGAGAUUUAGAAACCAAAUUUGCAAUACUAUAUUUAUGGCCCUAUUUUUGUGUAUAACAACUAUAGUUAUUUAUUUGUUCCUGUUCAUGUAAAGUACGAGAGAAAUGAGAAAUAAAGUAACUGAAGCUACGAAUGCCGUGAUUUUUCAAAUUCUGACUUUUUUCUUUUUACAAUAAUGUUUUCAUCUUUCACACCCAUGAAAAAGUCGGUCUAUUUCAAGUAAAUUCUCUGUAUGAUAUUGAAGUUUAAAUUCAUCUAUUGCUAAACUUUUUUACUCAAAUGUAUGGAUUUUAAAUGCUAAUUGCCUUCAACACUAUGGAGGAUUUUAUUUGUAGAAAUGGUUUAAAGAAUAAUAUAUUUGUUUUUACUGUCUCUCAUGGAAAAUAGAAGUGACUAUAUAUUAGCUACAACAUAAAUCUUUAUUGACUUGCACUCCCUCAAAAUGGUUCCAAUUUAGUACUUUUUUUAUUGGUUUGUAAAAUGUUCAUUUUUUUUAAUAGUCCAAUGGUAUUAAGGGCACUAAAAUUGUCUCUCUCCUCCUCCACAUGAAUUUUCUAAUAUUAAUUUUGGUUAGAAGAGUUGACAAUGUUACCAAAAUGUCAAUUCAAGGGGUGCUAAGUGAGAUUUUAAAAAUUUCAAGGGAAUUAAGUGAUACUUCGUGAAACCUCAAAGGAGGUUUCUGAAAUUAUUCCUUCCUCAAAUAGUCAAAUUCUUUAUAAUUGCAUUUCAACACAUACGAAAACAAUUGCUAUUUUCUUUUCUUGGUUUGUAGAUAAAUGUAUUGUAGUGAUUUAAUAUAUGUAAAAUAAAAAGGUGAUUGAGAAAAAUAUAUCUACGAAAAUUGUAAUUUUUUUUAAAAAAAUGGCAAUCCAAAUAAAAGCAUUUACCCUUUCAUCGCACCAUCUUUGUUGCACUCAAAACUUUUCGAGAUUAAACAUGCUUUUGUUGCAUAGAAUAUUAAUAAAAAAAAGGUUGGUGAUGUCCAUCUAUUCUACUUUUAAAAUCUAUCGUAACGAGACAAGUAAAAUUGUGGUUUAGUAUAGUUUUAAUCGGUUGUUAUACUUUCCACAAUAUUUUGUGUACGCCUACAAAAAAGUGUUGUACUUCGUACGACAUACGGUGUAGAAAAUAAAAUUCACACUUUUAGUAAAUUAAAAAAAUAAAAAAUCAUUUAUACAACAAAAUAAUAUAAGUGUAAGUUAAAACAUAUAGCAAGUCGUACUUGUCCCAACUCCCAACUUCCACAAAAAAAAAAAAAAAAAAAAAA